UGGGGAAUAUUGCACAAUGGAGGGAACUCUGAUGCAGCGACGCCGCGUGAGUGAUGAAGGAAUUCGUUUCGUAAAACUCUGUUCUAUGGGAAGAAAAGGACUGUACCAUAGGAGAAAGCUCCGGCUAAAUACGUGCCAGCAGCCGCGGUAAUACGUAUGGAGCGAGCGUUGUCCGGAAUUAUUGGGCGUAAAGGGUGCGCAGGCGGCUUUACAAGUUGGAUGUGAAAUAUUGUGGCUCAACCACAAACGUGCAUCCAAAACUGCAAAGCUUGAGUUAAGGAGGGGUAAGUGGAAUUCCUGGUGGAGCGGUGGAAUGCGUAGAUAUCAGGAGGAAUACCGGUGGCGAAGGCGACUUACUGGACUUAAACUGACGCUCAGGCACGAAAGCGUGGGGAGCAAACAGG
This 404-nucleotide ribosomal RNA is filed under the name Fusobacteriota bacterium. Its description in RNAcentral is "Fusobacteria bacterium partial 16S ribosomal RNA". It matches the Rfam family "Bacterial small subunit ribosomal RNA", at positions 355 to 776 of the family's 1533-position model. Lineage: Bacteria; Fusobacteriati; Fusobacteriota. The record is from RNAcentral.